AAGGGAGACCUAAUUCAGGUAGGAGACGAAAAAAAAGUAGUCGCUACCAAGAAUCAAUCCCAAAAGGUCGGAGCGAGGCGAAAUUGGCUUUCAAACUAGGUUCUGGGUUCACACAAGACCUGAAUCAGGAACAAGGGCUAUUAGCCCAGGUGGUUAGAGCGCACCCCUGAUAAGGGUGAGGUCCCUGGUUCGAGUCCAGGAUGGCCCACCUGUACAGGUGGCAAAAAGAAAGAAAAGAAGCGAGGAAUCAGCACCUUAUCUUACUGACAUAGCAAGAGAGAAUGCUGGCUCUGAGUAAAGAGUCCAGAGGAACCUUGAAAACUGCAUAGAGCUAGGUGAAAAAGCCAAAAAAGAAGACCGCAA
Molecule: transfer RNA, 363 nt
Filed under: uncultured Microcystis sp.
Lineage: Bacteria; Bacillati; Cyanobacteriota; Cyanophyceae; Chroococcales; Microcystaceae
Description: partial 16S-23S ribosomal RNA intergenic spacer
Rfam family: tRNA (bases 135-208)
Source: RNAcentral